RNAcentral lists this ribosomal RNA (887 nucleotides) under uncultured Synechococcus sp. Its description in RNAcentral is "bacterial SSU rRNA". It matches the Rfam family "Bacterial small subunit ribosomal RNA", at positions 646 to 1533 of the family's 1533-position model. The record is from RNAcentral. Lineage: Bacteria; Bacillati; Cyanobacteriota; Cyanophyceae; Synechococcales; Synechococcaceae.
GUGUGGUAGGGGCAGAGGGAAUUCCCGGUGUAGCGAUGAAAUGCGUAGAUAUCGGGAAGAACACCAGUGGCGAAGGCGCUCUGCUGGGCCAUAACUGACGCUCAUGGACGAAAGCCAGGAAGCGAAAGGGAUUAGAUACCCCUGUAGUCCUGGCCGUAAACGAUGAACACUAGGUGUCAGGGGAAUCGACCCCCUCGGUGUCGUAGCCAACGCGUUAAGUGUUCCGCCUGGGGAGUACGCACGCAAGUGUGAAACUCAAAGGAAUUGACGGGGGCCCGCACAAGCGGUGGAGUAUGUGGUUUAAUUCGAUGCAACGCGAAGAACCUUACCAGGGUUUGACAUCAUGCGAACCCCUGAGAAAUCGGGGGGUGCCUUCGGGAACGCAGUGACAGGUGAUGUAUGGCUGUCGUCAGUUCGUGUCGUGAGAUGUUGGGUUAAGUCCCGCAACGAGCGCAACCCACGUCUUUAGUUGCCAGCAUUCAGUUGGGCACUCUAGAGAGACCGCCGGUGAUAAACCGGAGGAAGGUGUGGAUGACGUCAAGUCAUCAUGCCCCUUACAUCCUGGGCUACACACGUACUACAAUGCUACGGACAAAGAGCAGCGAUCCCGCGAGGGCUAGCAAAUCUCAUAAACCGUGGCUCAGUUCAGAUCGUAGGCUGCAACUCGCCUACGUGAAGGAGAAAUCGCUAGUAAUCGCAGGUCAGCAUACUGCGGUGAAUACGUUCCCGGGCCUUGUACACACCGCCCGUCACACCAUGGAAGUUGGCCACGCCCGAAGCCGUUACUCCAACCCUUGUGGAGGAGGACGUCGAAGGUGGGGCUGAUGACUGGGGUGAAGUCGUAACAAGGUAGCCGUACCGGAAGGUGCGGCUGGAUCACCUCCUAA